Molecule: ribosomal RNA, 467 nt
Filed under: uncultured bacterium
Lineage: Bacteria
Description: partial 16S ribosomal RNA
Rfam family: Bacterial small subunit ribosomal RNA
Source: RNAcentral
ACGAACGCUGGCGGCGUGCUUAACACAUGCACGUCGAACGGAAAGGCCCUGCCUUUGUGGGGUGCUCGAGUGGCGAACGGGUGAGUAACACGUGAGUAACCUGCCCUUGACUUUGGGAUAACUUCAGGAAACUGGGGCUAAUACCGGAUAGGAGCUCCUGCUGCAUGGUGGGGGUUGGAAAGUUUCGGCGGCUGGGGAUGGACUCGCGGCUUAUCAGCUUGUUGGUGGGGUAGUGGCUUACCAAGGCUUUGCCGGGUAGCCGGCCUGGGAGGGUGACCGGCCACAUUGGGACUGAGAGACGGCCCAGACUCCUACGGGAGGCAGCAGUGGGGAAUAUUGCACAAUGGGCGGAAGCCUGAUGCAGCAACGCCGCGUGCGGGAUGACGGCCUUCGGGUUGUAAACCGCUUUCGCCUGUGACGAAGCGUGAGUGACGGUAAUGGGUAAAGAAGCACCGGCUAACUACGUG